This 672-nucleotide unclassified non-coding RNA is filed under the name Hevea brasiliensis (rubber tree). Lineage: Eukaryota; Viridiplantae; Streptophyta; Magnoliopsida; Malpighiales; Euphorbiaceae. The record is from RNAcentral.
AGUGUAAUCUGAAGAGUUCAACAAAAGCUCCGGUGCUCUGUACCAUCUGGUUACUACAUAUUCUGUCAUAUUCUCGUUCUCUACGUUUGGCCUUGCAAGACCAAAAUCACAUAUCUUAAGAUCACAAUUUGCAUUUAGCAAGAGGUUACUUGGUUUGAGAUCUCUAUGAAUAACAUGCGCGGAAUGUAUGUACUUUAGCCCACGGAGAAGCUGAUACAUGAAGUACUGGCAAUGAUCCUCUGAUAAACCUUGGUUUGAUCUAAUUAUUUGGUGAAGAUCAGUAUCCAUGAGUUCAGUAGCAAUGUAAACAUCAGAAAACUCCCUUCGUAAGGGCGGAGGAAUCACAUCUCUUAAACCAAUGACGUUUUCAUGGUCUAAAUGGCGAAGAAGCUUAAUUUCACGGAGCGUCCUCUUAGCAUCCAUGUAAUUAUCAAAAGCAUUGGCGAUUUUCUUAACUGCAACCAUCUCAUUCAGCUCCGCAUUAAACACAGAGCAGACGAUUCCAUAAGCGCCACGUCCAAUAGGCAUGAUAGGAGGUUGAUACUUGUUAGUAAUCUCAAAAAGAUUACCAAAAAUGUCAUACUGAACAUAUUGUCCAGCAUGAGUGACAAUUUUAGGAAAAUCAGGAAAUUGAGCAGCACCCAUAUUAGCAUCAACCAUUAUUGAUAGAAA